GGAAGGCACAGUGAUGCCAAAACGUUGGUAAAUACCCAUGAAAUUGUUGGGAGAUUGUACAUGGAGUGUGAGACUUUCUUAAUUUUGCUAUUUUAAAGCCUUGGGAGCUAACACAGUUUUUCAGGUCUUAGACAAGGUUCCACCUUUAGAGCCACCAACCCAUUGAUGGUUGACUCGAUGGAAUAAACCAACUCAUUGAUGGGGGUGUCUGCAUCUUCUGUAUUCAACAUGCUGGUGGUGAUGUCCGAUUCCUCUCCAGCUAAAACCUGAGAGAGAAGCCCAGAGAUUAGAGCUUGGUCUUGGUUAAGGAAAGGGAUACAUCUCCAUGAACUUUUGAAAUAGGUAGUCCUGCAUCCCUGCAGCCAGGAGGAGGAGUCCACUUCGUCGGCUGGUCUUGAACUGCAGCGACAGGUGAAAGGAGGAGACAUCUUGGAUCGAAGUUAUCUUGCAGAAACUGUCCCCAAAGUAGGAUGCUGGAG
Long non-coding RNA from Oncorhynchus keta (chum salmon), 479 nucleotides. RefSeq lists it as uncharacterized. The transcript has 3 exons. The record is from RefSeq and is a predicted model, not a curated record. NCBI's taxonomy places the organism in Eukaryota, Metazoa, Chordata, Actinopteri, Salmoniformes, Salmonidae.